GGGCCUAUAGCUCAGCUGGUUAGAGCACCUGACUCAUAAUCAGGGGGUCCCUGGUUCAAGCCCAGGUGGGCCCACCG
Molecule: transfer RNA, 77 nt
Filed under: Puteibacter caeruleilacunae
Lineage: Bacteria; Pseudomonadati; Bacteroidota; Bacteroidia; Marinilabiliales; Prolixibacteraceae
Description: Prolixibacteraceae bacterium JC036 tRNA-Met
Rfam family: tRNA
About the family: Transfer RNA (tRNA) molecules are approximately 80 nucleotides in length. Their secondary structure includes four short double-helical elements and three loops (D, anti-codon, and T loops).
Source: RNAcentral